Molecule: ribosomal RNA, 621 nt
Filed under: uncultured bacterium
Lineage: Bacteria
Description: bacterial SSU rRNA
Rfam family: Bacterial small subunit ribosomal RNA
Source: RNAcentral
GAACACCGGUGGCGAAGGCGGCUUACUGGACUGUAACUGACGCUGAGUCACGAAAGCGUGGGUAGCAAACAGGAUUAGAUACCCUGGUAGUCCACGCCGUAAACGAUGAGUGCUAGGUGUUGGGCAGCAAUGCUCAGUGCCGAAGUAAACACAAUAAGCACUCCGCCUGGGGAGUACGUACGCAAGUAUGAAACUCAAAGGAAUUGACGGGGACCCGCACAAGCAGCGGAGCAUGUGGUUUAAUUCGAAGCAACGCGAAGAACCUUACCAAGGCUUGACAUCCCCUUGACAGAUGCAGAGAUGUGUCCUCCUCUUCGGAGGCAAGGGAGACAGGUGGUGCAUGGUUGUCGUCAGCUCGUGUCGUGAGAUGUUGGGUUAAGUCCCGCAACGAGCGCAACCCUUAUCCUUAGUUGCCAGCAUUAAGNUGGGCACUCUAAGGAGACUGCCGGUGAUAAACCGGAGGAAGGUGGGAUGACGUCAAAUCAUCAUGCCCCUUAUGUCUUGGGCUACACACGUGCUACAAUGGUCGGUACAACGGGCAGCNANGGAGCGAUCCGGAGCNAAUCCCAAUAAACCGAUCCCAGUUCGGAUUGCAGGCUGCAACUCGCCUGCAUGAAGUCG